Molecule: long non-coding RNA, 447 nt
Organism: Micropterus dolomieu (smallmouth bass)
Lineage: Eukaryota; Metazoa; Chordata; Actinopteri; Centrarchiformes; Centrarchidae
Exons: 4
Source: RefSeq, a predicted model, not a curated record
UUGAGGAAUUCAGGGCCUUUAAACAAACUUGGUGGGGGCCGCGUGAAUAACUGGCAGUGACCAAAGUGCAGUCCAGGGGCCAACAGGGGUCUGAGAGGCAGCCCAACAAGGGAACCACAUCAUCUGCAGCAAUUAAAACUACUUAAAUGCCACUUCUCUCCUAUAACAAGAGUCCUUCUUGCAACAGGGGGGAUGUAAUGCUGCUGACCAUGACCUCUGACCUCCCUGCACAUGGGUCCCUUAUAACUGUCCCUACAUCAUAAUUACCCAACCGCUGAGGAGGAAAGCUGCUGCUGCCCUCCACAAUAAGGCCCUUAGCCUAUGAAAGGGUUUCUUGGUCAUAUUCUCCCUCGUCCUUGUGUUGUAGGCCUAUAUGUCAUUCUGUCUUUAAUAAAGUUGGUUAAGACCAAACAAAGUUUGUUUUUAUGUGAGUGUAUAUGUAGAGGA